Molecule: long non-coding RNA, 3298 nt
Filed under: Manihot esculenta (cassava)
Lineage: Eukaryota; Viridiplantae; Streptophyta; Magnoliopsida; Malpighiales; Euphorbiaceae
Description: long non-coding RNA (MESC_LNC007843)
Source: RNAcentral
GACGCGGAACCCUAUGGCACAAGCCUCAAACCCACACGCACAAGUAGAUAUGGAAUCCAAAGAUUUGAUAAACCCACCUCUUAUGGCACCCCACACUUAGAGAAGCUGAAACACCAAUGAUCGAAGGAUUUAGAUGAGAAUCUGACAAACGCCACAAUGAAUAGUUGAUAAGUAAGCCAAGAUUCCUGGUGCAAUUGAUGAAAGCAAAUCCUCACUCUCACUCAAAGCAAUACACGCCAAAGGCAUAAGAAGAAUUCUCAAAUUUUGAUUAAAAGCUGCCUCUUACAAUUGUUUCUUAUCCUUAUAUAGUAAGGAGAAAAACAAAUAAAACCCUAAGACACUCUUUUUGGACCUGACUUAAACACAUAAGGCCCAAGUCCAAUCACACACUAAAAUAACACAUAAGUAUUAAAACAUAAGCCCAAAACAUGGUCCAACACUCUAAAACUUAAAAGAUAAAAUAUGGCCAGAAUACAAGCCCAAACAAAGCUAAAAUAAAAUAAGAGUUCAAAUAAUAAAACAUAGUAAGCCCAUCAUAACAAAGCUGAAUCUUCACAAAAACCUUACUUGAUCUUCACUUUAGACUUCUCUUUAUGUAGUUUUAGCCCAUAGGUUUGAUUAGGCUCCCUAAGCCUAUGAUUGCAAGUGUUGCACCAAAUCUGUCCCAUAUGAGUUGAAGCACGCCCCAAAUAUAUAUGGAUCAUAUGAAUAUGAUUUUGAACUCCUUUUAGAUCCAUUUGAAUGACAUAAGUUUGCUCCACACCAUUGUUAGAAAUUUGCCCUAUUGGAUCCGUAUCAUUCUCUCCUUCUUUAGAAAAGAUUCGUUCUCAAAUAUUGCUGAUAUUUAUGUCAAAAAGAGAAGCUUUAGGAACCCAUGUAUCUUCAAAGACCUCCUUUUGAAUAGGUGGAAAUAGGAUAAAACUUUUGUUAUGACUGUUUUCAUCAACAACCUGCACAUCAAGAACAAAUGAACUAGGCAUAAAAAUAUUAGUCAUAGAUAGAUCUUGUGGAUGUGACCCAUUCUUCUCUACAACUUCCAAAACAGUCUCAUUCGCCUCCUCCACCUCAUCAAUCACGUGCUCCCCAUGUCCUUCAUCAUUCACAACCUCUUCUAUAAGUUCAUUGAUGGAAUUCUCAACAACAACUACAUUAGAUUCAUGCAUUACAACUUCCUCUUCAAUUUCAAUCUCUAUGAAAGUUGAGAUUGGAACUUUAGCCUCUUCUUCCUCCUUUUCUUUCUCCACCUUCCCUCCUUGAACUAGUCUUGAUUCUUUUCCAGCCUCUUUACCCUCAAACUCACUCUUUUCUCUCAUCUUUUCCGUAGAAUUUAAGCUCUCACUCCCUUUUGUGGCCAAGGCCGAAGUCUCCCUCUCCCUCUCCAGCAUCUUUAUUUAAUCAAUAUAUACCUCUUUGGGUGAUAAAGGAGCGAGUAUAACCUUCUGUCCUUUAUGAGUGAAGGAGUACUUGUUAUUAAACCCAUCAUAUUGCACCUUUCUAUCAUGUUGCCACGGUCUACCUAACAACAUAUGGCUUGCCUGCAUAGGUAUCACAUCACAUAAUAUCUCAUCCUUGUACCUACCAAUAGAAAAUGGUAUAACCACCUGGCGUGUAACCCUAACGUCUCCACAAUCAUUCAACCAUUGCAAUCUAUAUGGCUUAGGGUGUUUAAUAGAAGCCAAGCCCAAUUUUUCCACCAUAUACACACUAGCCACAUUUGUGCAACUACCUCCAUCAAUAAUGAGAGUACACACUUUUCUAUUAACCAAACACCUAGUGUGAAAUAUGUUUUUCCGUUGUUCUAGGCUUUCUUCCUUAACCUGCAUAUUCAGAGCACGCCUAGCAACAAGCAUCUCACAAUGUACAGCAAGCAACAAAUUAUUAACCAACACAUCCGAAUCAUCAUAGUCAUUAUUACAAUUAAGAGUUCUUUGAGGUAUUCUUGUAGAAGUGGAAGCUUAUGAGACAUUCAAACUCUCCAUAGUUUCAGUUAACCUCUCAAGAGUCUUAUUGAGCCUUUGUAACUCACCACUGACUGACUUCUUAAAGAGCUUAUAAUCGUUACCCAUAUUCGAUUCACUUUCAUCAGUACGAUCCACCACAUUCUUGUCUUUACUCAUCCUACCUUAAAUCAACAAAGAACAAAAAGGACUAGCAAAUAUUGUGUUAAAAAAAGAAAGUACUCAAGUGUUUGCACUCUUACCAUUCUGUUGCUGAUUCUUCAAUUGCACUUCAGAAACUAAGGUCAACCAACUAACCACAAGGUGCGUUUAAUGAAACAAAGAAGAAAUCCUAAAGAAAGAAGGAAGCGCGCAAAAACUUGAAAGAAGACACUGACAAUUUGGAAAGUAACACAUGAACUAGGUUUUGUGCUACUUGAAAAAUAUCACCUAGAGUAUAGACAAAAGCAAAUAAUACUCCAGCAAUGUCAAGGAAGUAAAAGUAAGCUUAAACCAAAAAAGAAACUUUGAAUUCAAAUAAAAACGAAUCUGGACAAAAAUUUGAAUUUAAUUCACUUCAACGCAAAUUAAAUACGGAUCUAUUUAAAUCUACCCAAAAAGGCAAGUAUCAAAAUCCCAUAAAUAGAAAAAAAAAAUAAAUUUCACUUAGUGCAGCAUCAUGGACGAAAAUGGGCAUUAAAAGAAGGAUUUGACACCAAAUCGAUUUAGAUGCAGUUGUCUUCAAUGUGCACCUUAAGGAAUAGGAAGAUUUAUUUUGUCUCCUAAUCUGGAUUCAACCCAAUUCAAAAUUCAAAAUUGAUUCCCAUAAACUACAGCAAUCAAUUGAGAUAGGUAAGGAAAUAUAGAUGAAAAAGGAAGCAUAUCACAAUUUCGGCCAGAUCAAGAUAAAUAUGGCAAAGGUGAUUUUUUUUUCGUUUUUUUUUUAUUUCAAAUUUUUUCUUCCAAAAAGAGAUUAUGCAAUAAUUUAUCAAGAAGGUGUAGCCAUGAAUACAAAAGCUUUCACCGAAAUCAAUAACGAAGAAAAGAAAACUCAAAAAAAUAACUCUAGAUCCUGAGAUAAAUAAGAAUUUACCUCACUUUGGCUCUGAUACUAACUGACGCGGAACUCUAUGGCAUAAGCCUCAAACCCACACGCACAAGUAGAUAUGGAAUCCAAAGAUUUGAUAAACCCACCUCCUAUGGCACCCCACACUUAGAGAAGCUGAAACACCAAUGAUCGAAGGAUUUAGAUGAGAAUCUGACAAACGCCACAACGAAUAGUUGAUAAGUAAGCCAAGAUUCCUGGUGCAAUUGAUGAAAGCAAAUCCUCACUCUCACUCAAAGCAAUACACGCCAAAGGC